CCUACGGGAGGCAGCAGUGGGGAAUAUUGCACAAUGGGGGAAACCCUGAUGCAGCGACGCCGCGUGAGUGAAGAAGUAUUUAGGUAUGUAAAGCUCUAUCAGCAGGGAAGAAGCAAGACGGUACCUGACUAAGAAGCAUCGGCUAACUACGUGCCAGCAGCCGAGGUAAUACGUAGGGGCCAAGCGUUAUCCGGAUUUACUAGGUGUAAAGGGAGCGUAGAGGGUAUGGUAAGUCUGAAGUGAAAGUCUAGGGCUUAACCGUGGGAGUGCUAUUGAAACUGUCAGACUAGAGUGCUGGAGAGGUAAGUGGAAUUCGUGGUGUAGCGGUGAAAUGCGUAGAUAUUAGGAAGAACCCCGGUGGCGAAGGCAGCUUACUGGACUGUAACUGACGUUGAGGCUCGAAAGCGUGGGGAGCAAACAGGAUUAGAUACCCCAGUAGUC
Molecule: ribosomal RNA, 441 nt
Filed under: uncultured bacterium
Lineage: Bacteria
Description: partial 16S ribosomal RNA
Rfam family: Bacterial small subunit ribosomal RNA
Source: RNAcentral